Myotis davidii is the source of this 98-nucleotide long non-coding RNA. RefSeq lists it as uncharacterized. The record is from RefSeq and is a predicted model, not a curated record. NCBI's taxonomy places the organism in Eukaryota, Metazoa, Chordata, Mammalia, Chiroptera, Vespertilionidae. The transcript is spliced from 3 exons.
CUAUCUCUCUCCCUUCCUCUCUGAAAUCAAGAUGUUACAGAAAACCGGAAAAGAACCAAGCAAUGCUUAGAGAGAUGGAGUUACAUUUCUUAUUAUUA